GCCAUGUAUAUUUCUAUCGUGUUUUUGAAAUAAAGGACUUAAAUGAGACUCUUAAUCUCAGGGUCGUGGGUUCGAGCCCCACGUUGGGCG
Non-coding RNA from Caligus rogercresseyi, 90 nucleotides. The record is from the annotation of a GenBank genome assembly. NCBI's taxonomy places the organism in Eukaryota, Metazoa, Arthropoda, Copepoda, Siphonostomatoida, Caligidae.